Molecule: ribosomal RNA, 405 nt
Filed under: Campylobacter sp. 2018MI34
Lineage: Bacteria; Pseudomonadati; Campylobacterota; Epsilonproteobacteria; Campylobacterales; Campylobacteraceae
Description: partial 23S ribosomal RNA
Rfam family: Bacterial large subunit ribosomal RNA
Source: RNAcentral
GCGAAGCGACGUCAAAGCGUAUACAAAGUCGAGUCGGUUUAAGGAUACGUUCGUUGGGUAGGGGAGCGUUCUGUAAGCCUGCGAAGGUGGCCUGUGAGGGUUGCUGGAGGUAUCAGAAGUGCGAAUGCUGACAUAAGUAACGAUAAUGCGGGUGAAAAACCCGCACGCCGGAAGACCAAGGGUUCCUGUCCAACGUUAAUCGGGGCAGGGUGAGUCGACCCCUAAGGCGAGGCCGAAAGGCGUAGUCGAUGGGAAACAGGUUAAUAUUCCUGUACUUGGUGUUACUGCGAAGGGGGGACGGAGAAGGCUAUGUUAGCCGGGCGACGGUUGUCCCGGUUUAAGCAUGUAGGCGGAGGCUCCAGGUAAAUCCGGUACCUUUUUAACGCUGAGGUGUGAUGACGAGGC